UUUCUUAAAAUUCACAUGGUUCCUUUCCCGCCAAAUCAUCCAUCAACAUGCAGCAGUUUGUAAAGUUUAAGUUAUACCAAGUAGUUUUGUAAAAAGGGUGUUAAAUAUAAAAAUAUUUAAACACCGUUCUCUAACAGUUUAAGCUUUUAGAGUACAACGGUUAUUUCACAUGAUAUCAGAGCAGAAAGUCCUGAGUUCGAGUUACGCCAGGCUCCUAGCAUAUUAAUUUCCUCCCAUUUAAUUUAAGCCCACGUCAUGGGCCGACUAAAAAAAAUCGCUUAAGUUUUUAGAGUACAACGGUUGUUUCGCAAAGGUGUUUUUACAAAAUCAAUAAAGUUUAAGCUAUAGAAAAUAAAGUUUUAUAUUUUUAUAUUCAACAGCGCAUGCAAUUUUUAGUUUGGUAAAAACUCUCCGAAAAGUGAAACCAAACAAUAAUACUUUUUUUUUUUUUGAGAGAGAUAGGUAGCACGCUACCCGCUUCGUUUAUUUCAUUUAGAAAUAAACUUAGCUGAAAAUGUGAAUCAACUAUGAUUCGAACUUGAGUCUCGGGUAUCAACCGUCAAAUUCUUUGCCACUUGUUCUAGAAACGGUGGAUAACCAAACAACAAUACUAAGUAGUUUUGUAGGGGUGUU
This 633-nucleotide long non-coding RNA is filed under the name Ananas comosus (pineapple). Its description in RNAcentral is "long non-coding RNA (ACOM_LNC024118)". Lineage: Eukaryota; Viridiplantae; Streptophyta; Magnoliopsida; Poales; Bromeliaceae. The record is from RNAcentral.